GACGAACGCUGGCGGCGUGCUUAACACAUGCAAGUCGAACGGUGAAGCGCCUUCCUUUUUGGUGGGUGUGGAUGAGUGGCGAACGGGUGAGUAACACGUGAGUAACCUGCCCCCUUCUUCUGGAUAACCGCAUGAAAGUGUGGCUAAUACGGGAUAUUCUGGGUCUGUCGCAUGAUGGGUCUGGGAAAGAUAUUGUUUCGGUGGGGGAUGGGCUCGCGGCCUAUCAGCUUGUUGGUGGGGUGAUGGCCUACCAAGGCGGUGACGGGUAGCCGGCCUGAGAGGGUGGACGGUCACACUGGGACUGAGACACGGCGCAGACUCAUACGGGAGGCAGCAGUGGGGAAUAUUGCACAAUGGGCGCAAGCCUGAUGCAGCGACGCCGCGUGAGGGAUGGAGGCCUUCGGGUUGUGAACCUCUUUCGCCAGUGAAGCAGGCCUGCCUCGUUUGUGGGUGGGUUGACGGUAGCUGGAUAAGAAGCGCCGGCUAACUACGUG
RNAcentral lists this ribosomal RNA (494 nucleotides) under uncultured bacterium. Its description in RNAcentral is "partial 16S ribosomal RNA". It matches the Rfam family "Bacterial small subunit ribosomal RNA", at positions 28 to 507 of the family's 1533-position model. The record is from RNAcentral.